GGUGGUUUACCCUGCGGCGGAUGUCAGCGGUUCGA
Molecule: transfer RNA, 35 nt
Filed under: Trigonospermum melampodioides
Lineage: Eukaryota; Viridiplantae; Streptophyta; Magnoliopsida; Asterales; Asteraceae
Description: partial tRNA-Ala
Source: RNAcentral